Molecule: transfer RNA, 76 nt
Filed under: Acidobacteriota bacterium
Lineage: Bacteria; Pseudomonadati; Acidobacteriota
Description: tRNA-Phe
Rfam family: tRNA
About the family: Transfer RNA (tRNA) molecules are approximately 80 nucleotides in length. Their secondary structure includes four short double-helical elements and three loops (D, anti-codon, and T loops).
Source: RNAcentral
CCUGAUGUAGCUGAUGCGGUCAUAGCGGCCGGCUGAAGACCGGCAGAACGAGGUUCAACUCCUCGCGUCAGGACCA